CAUGUAUUUGACACACACACAUAUACUCUUUGUUUAUUGUCAAACUUUUGUUAUUGCUUAAAGUCUGCCGUGCGAUUCUGUAAGCGUUGUUUAACAAACUCGCACGUGAAUUUGGUGUGAGUUUUCAAAUUGGCAUUCUGUACAAUACGACCGACGUAACUUGGCGAGCCCGAACUUCGCGCAGAAGGCUGCGCACAAACGUUUUUAGGAACCAAAUGGUGGUAUGAGCAACGUGCGCGGGGCGGAGGUCUAGGCUAGGGAUUGACUCUAUGUAAACACAAUCGUCCCUUUAUUCAAUCAAAUAUCACAAUCGAUUUUUAUCGGUUUGGAAUUUAUUGAUUUUUGUUUAUAUGAGAUAAUGAAUGAAAUAGAUUUACAAACAUAUUGAAUGUUGUCGUUAGUAAACGAGACUUCAUCUUUAAUAAAAAAAAAAACUAAUAACACUUUAUUUUCUUGGUUGAAAGACACGAUUUAGUUGAAUAUCAGUUAUUUAUCAACAACUACUACAAUAGGGACUGUUCGUGAAUAUUUUAAACCUCCUAUAAAAUGGAAUAUAAAUAUAUAUUUUUAUAUAAAUUUUAAUCAAUUUGAAAAAAAAUCGAUUAAACAACAUCCUCAAACACGCAUAUUGGACAUCCCUUUUCUUGACAUCGUAUAAAUUCGGUAAUUCUCGGUAUGCGGUAAUGUGUCUCACUCACACGCUAGCAUUAGUGUCGUGUUCGUGUCGCUAUCUCUGUCUUGAGUACGGGCGGCUACAAAAGUUUUCAUUGAUUUGUUAUUAUUAUACUGUUUUUGUUUAGUGCUCAGUGUUUUGUUUAGUUUUAAGAUUGUUUGUGUUUAAAUUUGUUUUAGUAUUGAGUGUCCCUUGGCAUUUAUACUAUUCGUUAACAAAGAUGCCACCAAAGCAUAAUAGUGUUUUAAAUCGACGGCCGACAAACAUAAUUUUUGUUUUUUUUUUAAAAAGAAAAAGAAGAAGGCGUAAAAGAUGUUGACAGUUUUAUUUAGAGUUGCUAACGAUCUGGUGUAUCGCAACGCACAGUACAGCGGAUCGCAACUGAAGGCAGUGUUCGGGCUUACUUUCGAAUUAAUUUAAUUACGUUAUUUUUACCGCUUUCUGUCUUAAUUUAUUAUUUUUUUAUUACCUCUCUUUAAUUUAUUACGUUAUUUUUAUAGCUUUCUCUCUCAUAGUGUUUUGAUAUUCAUUUUAUUUGUACUUGGUCCCUGUAUAUGGAAAUUUUAAUUCGUAUUUUGAUUUAAAAAAAUGAAUGCUAAUAACACUUUUUUUUACAAGUGUACAUGCGCGAAAGUGGACCUGCGGCUAUAUUCAGACUCGCCAAGUUACGUCGGUCGUACUGUAAAUUUCAUUGCAGUGCCGAAUCUACACUAGCGCCCCUCGCGGGUGAAUUGAACUAGCAAACGUGAGUUUUUUUUACUAAAAUGUAUGAGUUGACGUUUGAAACGGCAUUCUGUAGUGUAAAUCACGUCGAAUUUCGGCAAGAACUUCGCAUCGCAAAAUCAUUUUAUUUGUCAAAUCAAAAGUUAGUGUUUUAAGUGUUUGUUGUGAGUGAGAAUAUACGAAAACGUUAUAAACCGCUGUUAAUUAUUAAAAAAAUACUAUUAAUUAACAAAAUUGCACUUUAAAAUAACUUUAUUCUUCAUCGAUAUUUUUUGGAGCGUAUGUUUUUAUUGAAAACAUUGUUGAAAAGGCUGACGCUACGGAUCAGCGUGAAAUGUGUCGACAAGCCUACGAAAUUCACAAUUUAUCACUUUUAACUUGAGAUGACGACUAUGUAAAAGUAUAAAGAAAGUGUAUAGAUUGUCGAAGGAUCAUAUGAACCAGUUAGGGUGUGAAUUACACCCUUUGACGAAGACCACUAAAAGCCAUUGAAAAGGACUUUCAACUCUUCUAAAGUUUCAGUUACUGUGCACCUUGUUUAUUUGGGCAAAUGAAGUUACCAAAAAAAUCAUAAAAGAAAAUAUAAGAACAUAUUUGUCCCAGAUAUCCCAGUGUAUAUCUGAGGUUGUGGAGGCUCUGAACAACCCAGCAACUAUAUAUAAAUAUUUAAGAUUCCCGCAGAAUGCUCAAGAAUGGCAAAAGUUGAAGGAAAACUGAAGAAAAAAGAAGAAGGUGGUUUAAACUAAAUAAAUAUUUUUUUUCUUCAUAAAAAAGUACCAAUCUAAUGCAAAAUAUUGCAGUUUUUGUAAAAAAAUUAAAAUCACUUUGGUUGUUGGGUGUAUUGAUGGGACGUUGGUGGCCUUAAAAAGACCUGCUACCAAUAAAAAAUGGUUUUACUGUCACAAAGGCUAUCAUGCCAGAAAAUGUACAAUUUGUAAAGCCAUUAAUAUUUUUCGAAAUUCUGAUGACAUGUAAUCCAUAAACGAAAUGUGUAUUAUGAACUAUGUAUUCAGAUUGUAUUCAUUUCAGUUAAAUUGAAUUGUGUAUAUUGCUUUAAGUAAAGUUAUUGUGAAAUUUAGUAUUUAUAAUAUUAAAUAAACUUUAUUCAGUUACAAAAUAAAAUCUACUAAAGAUUAGUCAAUGACAGCAAGUAAUGACCAUUAUAAUUAUUUAACAUCUUUUCGGUCUUUCUGUAUAUGCUCAACGUUCCAACCUUAUGACACCUUUUGCUAAUUUUUUUUUCAUUUCACCAUCUAAAUGGUUAGACGAGCUCACAGCCCACCUGGUGUUAAGUGGUUACUGGAGCCCGUAGACAUCUACAACGUAAAUGCGCCACCAACGUUGAGAUAUAAAUUCGAAGGUCUCAGUAUAGUUACAACGGCUGCGCCACCCUUCAAACCGAAACGCAUUACUGCUUCAGAAAUAGGCGAUAAUGCUAUGCUAGCUAAUACCUGCUAAUAAUGGCUAGCUAAUGCUAAUACGGAGAGAGAUACUCCUGAAGCUUUGUAGCACCACCUUCAUUCCACUGCCUGUAACUCAGUGAAAAGAACAAUAGUUCUGUUAAAGAGUAGAUUCAGGUGUUUGCUGAUCCAUAGGGUGCCAAUUUAUCACCCUGAUAAGGUAGCAAAAAUAGCUGUUGCGUGUUGUGUUUUGCACAUUUGCAAUUGUGCAGAGCUGCCAGUUCCCAUAAUCUCAGAUUAUGAGAUUACAUUUACAUUAUGGUGGUCAUGUUGAAUUACUUUGUUAAAUUCUACUAAUUAGCUUACUUAUAGUGUGAAGCAACUUCAAAUAUAAAUUAAUGAUUUAUAAAAA
Long non-coding RNA from Bombyx mori (domestic silkworm), 3208 nucleotides. RefSeq lists it as uncharacterized. NCBI's taxonomy places the organism in Eukaryota, Metazoa, Arthropoda, Insecta, Lepidoptera, Bombycidae. The record is from RefSeq and is a predicted model, not a curated record. The transcript is spliced from 2 exons.